UGGCGAGUUUACUUUGAACAAAUCAGAGUGCUCAACACAGGCGCAACGCUGGAUGCUUAUGCAUGGAAUAAUGGAAGAGGAUUUCGGUUCUGUUUUGUUGGUUUCGAAGCCGAGAUAAUGGUUAAGAGGGACAGACGGGGGCAUUGGUAUUUCUGCGUGAGAGGUGAAAUUCUUGGACCGCAGGAGGACCGACAACAGCGAAGGCAAUUGCCAAGAAUGUCCCCAUUAAUCAAGAACGAAAGUCAGGGGAGCGAAGGCGAUUAGAUACCGCCGUAGUCCUGACCGUAAACGAUGCUAACUAGCGAUCCGUUGGACACCGCGACACGGGUGCCGAUGGGGAGCUUGCGGGAAACCAAAGUGUUUCAGCUCCGGGGGUAGUAUGGUCGCAAGGCUGAAACUUAAAGGAAUUGACGGAAGGGCACCACCAGGAGUGGAGCCUGCGGCUUAAUUUGACUCAACACGGGAAACCUCACCCGGGCAGUACACCGCAAGGAUUGACAAAUUGACAGCUUUUUCAUGAUUCGGUGGUUGGUGGUGCAUGGCCGUUCUUAGUUCGUGGAGUGAUCUGUCUGGUUAAUUCCGAUAACGAGCGAGACCCGCGCCUGCUAACUAGUCGGGAUGUACGCCGUCGCAUCUCGCGCGCACUUCUUAGAGGGAUCUGCGGCGCUAGCCACAUGAAAGUGGGCAAUAACAGGUCUGUGAUGCCCCUAGAUGCCCGGGGCUGCACGCGCGCUACACUGGCGAAGGCAACGUGCUUGCGCUGGCUCGACAGAGUCCGGCUAAUCCGUUGAAACUUCGCCGUGA
RNAcentral lists this ribosomal RNA (804 nucleotides) under Miculenchus sp. C127. RNAcentral describes it as "SSU rRNA". It matches the Rfam family "Eukaryotic small subunit ribosomal RNA", at positions 744 to 1570 of the family's 1831-position model. The record is from RNAcentral. Lineage: Eukaryota; Metazoa; Nematoda; Chromadorea; Rhabditida; Tylenchidae.